AGAGUUUGAUCAUGGCUCAGAGCGAACGCUGGCGGCAGGCUUAACACAUGCAAGUCGAACGGACGCAGCAAUGCGUCAGUGGCAGACGGGUGAGUAACACGUGGGAACGUGCCCUUCGGUUUGGAACAACCCAGGGAAACUUGGGCUAAUACCGGAUACGUCCGCAAGGAGAAAGAUUUAUCGCCGAAGGAUCGGCCCGCGUCUGAUUAGCUUGUUGGUGAGGUAACGGCUCACCAAGGCGACGAUCAGUAGCUGGUCUGAGAGGAUGAUCAGCCACACUGGGACUGAGACACGGCCCAGACUCCUACGGGAGGCAGCAGUGGGGAAUAUUGGACAAUGGGCGCAAGCCUGAUCCAGCCAUGCCGCGUGGGUGAUGAAGGCCUUAGGGUUGUAAAGCCCUUUCGGCGGGGAAGAUAAUGACGGUACCCGCAGAAGAAGCCCCGGCUAACUUCGUGCCAGCAGCCGCGGUAAUACGAAGGGGGUUAGCGUUGCUCGGAAUCACUGGGCGUAAAGCGCACGUAGGCGGAUUGCUAAGUCAGGGGUGAAAUCCUGGAGCUCAACUCCAGAACUGCCCUUGAUACUGGCGACCUUGAGUCCGGGAGAGGUGAGUGGAACUGCGAGUGUAGAGGUGAAAUUCGUAGAUAUUCGCAAGAACACCAGUGGCGAAGGCGGCUCACUGGCCCGGUACUGACGCUGAGGUGCGAAAGCGUGGGGAGCAAACAGGAUUAGAUACCCUAGUAGUCC
RNAcentral lists this ribosomal RNA (744 nucleotides) under uncultured bacterium. RNAcentral describes it as "bacterial SSU rRNA". It matches the Rfam family "Bacterial small subunit ribosomal RNA", at positions 8 to 796 of the family's 1533-position model. The record is from RNAcentral.